This 253-nucleotide ribosomal RNA is filed under the name uncultured bacterium. Its description in RNAcentral is "partial 16S ribosomal RNA". It matches the Rfam family "Bacterial small subunit ribosomal RNA", at positions 524 to 776 of the family's 1533-position model. The record is from RNAcentral.
UACAGAGGUCUCAAGCGUUGUUCGGAUUCAUUGGGCGUAAAGGGCGCGUAGGCUGCGGGGCAAGUCGGGUGUGAAAUCUCAGAGCUCAACUCUGAAACUGCACUCGAUACUGCUUUGCUUGAGGACUGGAGAGGAGAUUGGAAUUCACGGUGUAGCAGUGAAAUGCGUAGAUAUCGUGAGGAAGACCAGUGGCGAAGGCGGAUCUCUGGACAGUUACUGACGCUGAGGCACGAAGGCCAGGGGAGCAAACGGG